UACGAAGGGGGCAAGCGUUAUCCGGAUUUACUGGGUGUAAAGGGAGCGUAGACGGAAUUGCAAGUCUGAUGUGAAAAUCCGGGGCCCAACCCCGGAACUGCAUUGGAAACUGUAUUUCUAGAGUGUCGGAGAGGCAAGUGGAAUUCCUGGUGUAGCGGUGAAAUGCGUAGAUAUCAGGAGGAACACCAGUGGCGAAGGCGGCUUGCUGGACGAUGACUGACGUUGAGGCUCGAAAGCGUGGGGAGCAAACAGG
This 253-nucleotide ribosomal RNA is filed under the name uncultured bacterium. RNAcentral's name for it is "partial 16S ribosomal RNA". It matches the Rfam family "Bacterial small subunit ribosomal RNA", at positions 524 to 776 of the family's 1533-position model. The record is from RNAcentral.